UAGGGAAUAUUGCUCAAUGGGCGAAAGCCUGAAGCAGCAACGCCGCGUGGAGGAUGAAGGUCUUCGGAUUGUAAACUCCUUUUCUAAGAGAAGAUUAUGACGGUAUCUUAGGAAUAAGCACCGGCUAACUCCGUGCCAGCAGCCGCGGUAAUACGGAGGGUGCAAGCGUUACUCGGAAUCACUGGGCGUAAAGAGCACGUAGGCGGCCUUGCAAGUCAGAUGUGAAAUCCAACGGCUUAACCGUUGAACUGCAUUUGAAACUGCAAGGCUAGAGUAUGGGAGAGGUAGGUGGAAUUCUCGGUGUAGGGGUAAAAUCCGUAGAGAUCGAGAGGAAUACUCAUUGCGAAGGCGACCUGCUGGAACAUUACUGACGCUGAGGUGCGAAAGCGUGGGGAGCAAACAGG
This 404-nucleotide ribosomal RNA is filed under the name uncultured bacterium. Its description in RNAcentral is "bacterial SSU rRNA". It matches the Rfam family "Bacterial small subunit ribosomal RNA", at positions 355 to 776 of the family's 1533-position model. The record is from RNAcentral.